Fukomys damarensis (Damara mole-rat) is the source of this 107-nucleotide small nuclear RNA. Lineage: Eukaryota; Metazoa; Chordata; Mammalia; Rodentia; Bathyergidae. The record is from Ensembl.
CCGCUCACUUAAGCAGCACAUGUACUAACACUGGAACAAUACAGAAAAGAUCAGCAUGGACUCCGCUCAAGGAUGAAAGAGAAUUUCAGGAAACAUUCCAUAAGAAA